This 490-nucleotide ribosomal RNA is filed under the name uncultured bacterium. RNAcentral describes it as "partial 16S ribosomal RNA". It matches the Rfam family "Bacterial small subunit ribosomal RNA", at positions 28 to 507 of the family's 1533-position model. The record is from RNAcentral.
GAUGAACGCUAGCGGCAGGCCUAAUACAUGCAAGUCGAACGGGAUCCAGAUCAAAGCUUGCUUUGGUCUGGUGAGAGUGGCGCACGGGUGCGUAACGCGUGAGCAACCUACCCUUGUCAGGGGGAUAGCCCGGCGAAAGUCGGAUUAAUACCGCAUGACAUCAUUGAGGGGCAUCUUUCGAUGAUCAAAGAUUUAUCGGACAAGGAUGGGCUCGCGUGACAUUAGCUAGUUGGUAAGGUAACGGCUUACCAAGGCUGCGAUGUCUAGGGGGUCUGAGAGGAGAAUCCCCCACACUGGUACUGAGACACGGACCAGACUCCUACGGGAGGCAGCAGUAAGGAAUAUUGGUCAAUGGACGGAAGUCUGAACCAGCCAUGCCGCGUGCAGGAAGACGGCCCUAUGGGUUGUAAACUGCUUUUAUACGGGAACAAACGUCGGUACGUGUACCGGUCUGAGUGUACCGUAAGAAUAAGGAUCGGCUAACUCCGUG